Molecule: transfer RNA, 73 nt
Filed under: Camelus bactrianus (Bactrian camel)
Lineage: Eukaryota; Metazoa; Chordata; Mammalia; Artiodactyla; Camelidae
Also listed under: 2 other names
Rfam family: tRNA
About the family: Transfer RNA (tRNA) molecules are approximately 80 nucleotides in length. Their secondary structure includes four short double-helical elements and three loops (D, anti-codon, and T loops).
Source: Rfam by way of RNAcentral
GGGUGUAUAGCUCAAGUGGCAGAGCACGUGCUUAGCACGCAUGAGGUCCUGGGUUCAAUCCCUGAUACCUCCU